Molecule: ribosomal RNA, 253 nt
Filed under: uncultured bacterium
Lineage: Bacteria
Description: partial 16S ribosomal RNA
Rfam family: Bacterial small subunit ribosomal RNA
Source: RNAcentral
UACGUAGGGUGCGAGCGUUGUCCGGAAUUAUUGGGCGUAAAGAGCUUGUAGGCGGUUUGUCGCGUCUGCUGUGAAAUUUCGGGGCUCAACCCCGAACUUGCAGUGGGUACGGGCAGACUAGAGUGUGGUAGGGGAGACUGGAAUUCCUGGUGUAGCGGUGAAAUGCGCAGAUAUCAGGAGGAACACCGAUGGCGAAGGCAGGUCUCUGGGCCACUAUUGACGCUGAGGCGCGAAAGCGUGGGGAGCGAACAGG